AAAUUGAAGAGUUUGAUCAUGGCUCAGAUUGAACGCUGGCGGCAGGCCUAACACAUGCAAGUCGAACGGUAGCACAGAGAGCUUGCUCUCGG
RNAcentral lists this ribosomal RNA (92 nucleotides) under Salmonella enterica subsp. enterica serovar Infantis. RNAcentral describes it as "partial 16S ribosomal RNA". It matches the Rfam family "Bacterial small subunit ribosomal RNA", at positions 1 to 89 of the family's 1533-position model. RNAcentral also lists the same sequence under 119 other names. The record is from RNAcentral. Lineage: Bacteria; Pseudomonadati; Pseudomonadota; Gammaproteobacteria; Enterobacterales; Enterobacteriaceae.